Molecule: ribosomal RNA, 413 nt
Filed under: uncultured microorganism
Description: bacterial SSU rRNA
Rfam family: Archaeal small subunit ribosomal RNA
Source: RNAcentral
GUGCAGCAGUCGAGAAACCUCCGCAAUGCGGGAAACCGUGACGGGGUCACCCCGAGUGCCACCCGAUGAGGGUGGCUUCUCCCCGGUCUAAAAAGCCGGGGGCAAUAAGCGGGGGGCAAGUCUGGUGUCAGCCGCCGCGGUAAUACCAGUCCGCGAGUGGUCGGGACGUUUAUUGGGCCUAAAGCGUCCGUAGCCGGCUCGGUAAGUCCCUCCUUAAAUCCACGGGCUCAACCCGUGGGCUGGGAGGGAUACUGCCGGGCUAGGGGGCGGGAGAGGCCGAGGGUACUCCCGGGGUAGGGGCGAAAUCCGUUAAUCCCGGGAGGACCACCAGUGGCGAAGGCGCUCGGCUGGAACGCGCCCGACGGUGAGGGACGAAAGCUGGGGGAGCAAAGGGGAUUAGAUACCCCUGUAGU